GACGAACCGAGCGAACGUUGUUCGGAAUCACUGGGCUUAAAGGGCGCGUAGGCGGGUGCUCAAGUCCGUGGUGAAAUCCUCCGGCUCAACCGGAGAACUGCCUCGGAUACUGGGCGCCUCGAGGGUGGUAGGGGUAUGCGGAACUAUCGGUGGAGCGGUGAAAUGCGUAGAUAUCGAUAGGAACUCCGGUGGCGAAGGCGGCAUACUGGACCACCUCUGACGCUGAGGCGCGAAAGCCAGGGGAGCAAACGGG
Molecule: ribosomal RNA, 253 nt
Filed under: uncultured bacterium
Lineage: Bacteria
Description: partial 16S ribosomal RNA
Rfam family: Bacterial small subunit ribosomal RNA
Source: RNAcentral